Myotis lucifugus (little brown bat) is the source of this 75-nucleotide non-coding RNA. Lineage: Eukaryota; Metazoa; Chordata; Mammalia; Chiroptera; Vespertilionidae. The record is from Rfam.
GGCAGUUCUUGGAUGAUGCACCCCAGAAUCGGGCUCCCUCCUCUCUGGUUUCAAGUGCAUCAUCCAAGAAACGCA